RNAcentral lists this ribosomal RNA (253 nucleotides) under uncultured bacterium. Its description in RNAcentral is "partial 16S ribosomal RNA". It matches the Rfam family "Bacterial small subunit ribosomal RNA", at positions 524 to 776 of the family's 1533-position model. The record is from RNAcentral.
GACGAACCGUGCAACCGUUGUUCGGAAUCACUGGGCUUAAAGGGCGCGUAGGCGGGUCUCCAAGUCGGUGGUGAAAUCUUUCAGCUCAACUGGAAAAGUGCCGCCGAUACUGGGGAUCUCGAGGGAGGUAGGGGUCGAUGGAACUAAUGGUGGAGCGGUGAAAUGCGUAGAUAUCAUUAGGAACGCCGGUGGCGAAAGCGAUCGACUGGACCUCUUCUGACGCUGAGGCGCGAAAGCCAGGGGAGCAAACGGG